UACGUAGGGUGCAAGCGUUAAUCGGAAUUACUGGGCGUAAAGCGUGCGCAGGCGGUUUUGUAAGUCUGACGUGAAAUCCCCGGGCUCAACCUGGGAAUUGCGUUGGAGACUGCAAGGCUAGAAUCUGGCAGAGGGGGGUAGAAUUCCACGUGUAGCAGUGAAAUGCGUAGAGAUGUGGAGGAACACCGAUGGCGAAGGCAGCCCCCUGGCUCAUUACUGACGCUGAGGCUCGAAAGCGUGGGGAGCAAACAGG
RNAcentral lists this ribosomal RNA (253 nucleotides) under uncultured bacterium. RNAcentral describes it as "partial 16S ribosomal RNA". It matches the Rfam family "Bacterial small subunit ribosomal RNA", at positions 524 to 776 of the family's 1533-position model. The record is from RNAcentral.